RNAcentral lists this long non-coding RNA (270 nucleotides) under Homo sapiens (human). RNAcentral's name for it is "HSALNT0373034". Lineage: Eukaryota; Metazoa; Chordata; Mammalia; Primates; Hominidae. The record is from RNAcentral.
GCAGGGGCAGAUUCCACUGUGUUCCACCCGACACGGGAUAGGGAGCACAGCAAUAUUUCAGAUGUACCAGUCUCCUGUCCAAGAAUCCCCAAACACAGGGCAUCGACUGCCCAGCAAAAUAGAAUGAACCCCUUAUUCUCCCCUCUGGAGGCUAAGUUAAGAAAAGUGAAGAACUUCGUUUGGUUAUUCAGUCAGUUCAAUGAAGCCUAGAGUGAAGAAACUAAACAUAUAUAUAUAUAUAUAGCUUCUGUUAGUCCUCAGUAUUAAAAG